Molecule: ribosomal RNA, 258 nt
Filed under: uncultured bacterium
Lineage: Bacteria
Description: partial 16S ribosomal RNA
Rfam family: Bacterial small subunit ribosomal RNA
Source: RNAcentral
UACAGGAGACUGCAAGCGUUUAUUCGGAUUCACUGGGCGUAAAGGGUGCGCAGGCGGCCGAGUGUGUGAGGCGUGAAAGCCCGGGGCUUAACCCCCGGAAUUGCACCUCAAACUACACGGCUAGAGCAUUGGAGAGGGUAGGCAGAAUUCAUGGUGUAGCAGUGAAAUGUGUAGAUAUCAUGAGGAAUACCAGAGGCGAAGGCGGCUACCUGGGACAAUUGCUGACGCUCAGGCACGAAAGCGUGGGGAGCAAAAGGG